UUAAAGCUACCAACCGGCUUCA
This 22-nucleotide microRNA is filed under the name Caenorhabditis elegans. Its description in RNAcentral is "cel-miR-75-3p". Its record names the gene cel-miR-75-3p. Lineage: Eukaryota; Metazoa; Nematoda; Chromadorea; Rhabditida; Rhabditidae. RNAcentral also lists the same sequence under 1 other name. The record is from miRBase by way of RNAcentral.